Molecule: long non-coding RNA, 838 nt
Filed under: Fukomys damarensis (Damara mole-rat)
Lineage: Eukaryota; Metazoa; Chordata; Mammalia; Rodentia; Bathyergidae
Description: lncRNA (ENSFDAG00000021584.1)
Source: RNAcentral
CCUUGAUAUUUCUGUCCCAUGUAUUUUAACAUCUUUAAAGUUUUUGCUGGUUAAAACUUCGUUAAUCUUCCAACAAUGUAUAGUUAUAAUAUGUACUUGGUAAUUAUGGAAUUUGAUUAUUCAAUUCACAUUUUGUGACUCUCUAAUCAGGCUCAAAUAGAUGAAGGAGUCCCUCUGAAGAUUUGCUUGUCUCAGUUCUGUAAAUGGAUUCAUAAAGUUCAGCAACAGAAGAACAUUUUUUUUACUCCUGAGGUUUCAGAGCCUUCUACUUCUGAAGUAAAAUUAUGUGCAUUUGUUACCUGGUCAGACUGGGACUUAGGUGUUUGCCUGGAAUAUGAGUGUAAAAGAAAACAGCUGUUAAAACCUGUGUUCUUAAAUUCUUGGAUUGAUCUCAGAGCGACUUACAAGGUAAGGAUCAAAAAUGACAUGGUCACUUUUCUUCUUCUGAAAAAUAAUUACAUUUUAUCCCUCACAUGGGUUUCCACAAAUAAAAUUUUUUUGUGUGUGAAUGGUCACAUAAUAUUCACUGUAAGAUGUUUUAAAACUACCCAACAAAAAAUAAGCACAUUCCAAAUUUAAUAGAAAUAAAAAUUACAAAAAAUAGACUCAUGCAUAGCCUUUCAAAUAGUGAUCAUAUUUUUAGAUAUGUCUUUCUUUAUUUGAUUAGCUUUUCUAUAGAAGAAAACCAAAAGGACUAAGUGGUGCCUUGCAGGAAGUGGGAAUAGAAUUCUCUGGACGAGAACAUUCAGGUUUGUCAAAAUUAAAAAUCAUUUUAUCAUGUAAGGCAGUUGACAUUUAUAAAAUCUUUCAUGUGAGUCCCAUCUCUUGGUAAUGCCAU